UUAAGCGACUAAGCGUACACGGUGGAUGCCCUGGCAGUCAGAGGCGAUGAAGGACGUGCUAAUCUGCGAUAAGCGUCGGUAAGGUGAUAUGAACCGUUAUAACCGGCGAUUUCCGAAUGGGGAAACCCAGUGUGUUUCGACACACUAUCAUUAACUGAAUCCAUAGGUUAAUGAGGCGAACCGGGGGAACUGAAACAUCUAAGUACCCCGAGGAAAAGAAAUCAACCGAGAUUCCCCCAGUAGCGGCGAGCGAACGGGGAGCAGCCCAGAGCCUGAAUCAGUGUGUGUGUUAGUGGAAGCGUCUGGAAAGGCGCGCGAUACAGGGUGACAGCCCCGUACACAAAAAUGCACAUGCUGUGAGCUCGAUGAGUAGGGCGGGACACGUGGUAUCCUGUCUGAAUAUGGGGGGACCAUCCUCCAAGGCUAAAUACUCCUGACUGACCGAUAGUGAACCAGUACCGUGAGGGAAAGGCGAAAAGAACCCCGGCGAGGGGAGUGAAAAAGAACCUGAAACCGUGUACGUACAAGCAGUGGGAGCACGCUUAGGCGUGUGACUGCGUACCUUUUGUAUAAUGGGUCAGCGACUUAUAUUCUGUAGCAAGGUUAACCGAAUAGGGGAGCCGAAGGGAAACCGAGUCUUAACUGGGCGUUAAGUUGCAGGGUAUAGACCCGAAACCCGGUGAUCUAGCCAUGGGCAGGUUGAAGGUUGGGUAACACUAACUGGAGGACCGAACCGACUAAUGUUGAAAAAUUAGCGGAUGACUUGUGGCUGGGGGUGAAAGGCCAAUCAAACCGGGAGAUAGCUGGUUCUCCCCGAAAGCUAUUUAGGUAGCGCCUCGUGAACUCAUCUCCGGGGGUAGAGCACUGUUUCGGCAAGGGGGUCAUCCCGACUUACCAACCCGAUGCAAACUGCGAAUACCGGAGAAUGUUAUCACGGGAGACACACGGCGGGUGCUAACGUCCGUCGUGAAGAGGGAAACAACCCAGACCGCCAGCUAAGGUCCCAAAGUCAUGGUUAAGUGGGAAACGAUGUGGGAAGGCCCAGACAGCCAGGAUGUUGGCUUAGAAGCAGCCAUCAUUUAAAGAAAGCGUAAUAGCUCACUGGUCGAGUCGGCCUGCGCGGAAGAUGUAACGGGGCUAAACCAUGCACCGAAGCUGCGGCAGCGACGCUUAUGCGUUGUUGGGUAGGGGAGCGUUCUGUAAGCCUGUGAAGGUGUACUGUGAGGUAUGCUGGAGGUAUCAGAAGUGCGAAUGCUGACAUAAGUAACGAUAAAGCGGGUGAAAAGCCCGCUCGCCGGAAGACCAAGGGUUCCUGUCCAACGUUAAUCGGGGCAGGGUGAGUCGACCCCUAAGGCGAGGCCGAAAGGCGUAGUCGAUGGGAAACAGGUUAAUAUUCCUGUACUUGGUGUUACUGCGAAGGGGGGACGGAGAAGGCUAUGUUGGCCGGGCGACGGUUGUCCCGGUUUAAGCGUGUAGGCUGGUUUUCCAGGCAAAUCCGGAAAAUCAAGGCUGAGGCGUGAUGACGAGGCACUACGGUGCUGAAGCAACAAAUGCCCUGCUUCCAGGAAAAGCCUCUAAGCAUCAGGUAACAUCAAAUCGUACCCCAAACCGACACAGGUGGUCAGGUAGAGAAUACCAAGGCGCUUGAGAGAACUCGGGUGAAGGAACUAGGCAAAAUGGUGCCGUAACUUCGGGAGAAGGCACGCUGAUAUGUAGGUGAAGUCCCUCGCGGAUGGAGCUGAAAUCAGUCGAAGAUACCAGCUGGCUGCAACUGUUUAUUAAAAACACAGCACUGUGCAAACACGAAAGUGGACGUAUACGGUGUGACGCCUGCCCGGUGCCGGAAGGUUAAUUGAUGGGGUUAGCGCAAGCGAAGCUCUUGAUCGAAGCCCCGGUAAACGGCGGCCGUAACUAUAACGGUCCUAAGGUAGCGAAAUUCCUUGUCGGGUAAGUUCCGACCUGCACGAAUGGCGUAAUGAUGGCCAGGCUGUCUCCACCCGAGACUCAGUGAAAUUGAACUCGCUGUGAAGAUGCAGUGUACCCGCGGCAAGACGGAAAGACCCCGUGAACCUUUACUAUAGCUUGACACUGAACAUUGAGCCUUGAUGUGUAGGAUAGGUGGGAGGCUUUGAAGUGUGGACGCCAGUCUGCAUGGAGCCGACCUUGAAAUACCACCCUUUAAUGUUUGAUGUUCUAACGUUGACCCGUAAUCCGGGUUGCGGACAGUGUCUGGUGGGUAGUUUGACUGGGGCGGUCUCCUCCUAAAGAGUAACGGAGGAGCACGAAGGUUGGCUAAUCCUGGUCGGACAUCAGGAGGUUAGUGCAAUGGCAUAAGCCAGCUUGACUGCGAGCGUGACGGCGCGAGCAGGUGCGAAAGCAGGUCAUAGUGAUCCGGUGGUUCUGAAUGGAAGGGCCAUCGCUCAACGGAUAAAAGGUACUCCGGGGAUAACAGGCUGAUACCGCCCAAGAGUUCAUAUCGACGGCGGUGUUUGGCACCUCGAUGUCGGCUCAUCACAUCCUGGGGCUGAAGUAGGUCCCAAGGGUAUGGCUGUUCGCCAUUUAAAGUGGUACGCGAGCUGGGUUUAGAACGUCGUGAGACAGUUCGGUCCCUAUCUGCCGUGGGCGCUGGAGAACUGAGGGGGGCUGCUCCUAGUACGAGAGGACCGGAGUGGACGCAUCACUGGUGUUCGGGUUGUCAUGCCAAUGGCACUGCCCGGUAGCUAAAUGCGGAAGAGAUAAGUGCUGAAAGCAUCUAAGCACGAAACUUGCCCCGAGAUGAGUUCUCCCUGACUCCUUGAGA
This 2800-nucleotide ribosomal RNA is filed under the name Escherichia coli 2-011-08_S4_C1. RNAcentral's name for it is "bacterial LSU rRNA". It matches the Rfam family "Bacterial large subunit ribosomal RNA". Lineage: Bacteria; Pseudomonadati; Pseudomonadota; Gammaproteobacteria; Enterobacterales; Enterobacteriaceae. The record is from RNAcentral.